AGAAUCAACGCUGGCGGCGUGCCUCAGACAUGCAAGUCGAACGCGAAAGUCUCCUUCGGGGGACAAGUAGAGUGGCGCACGGGGUGAGUAACACGUAGGUAAUCUACCUUUGGAUGGGGAAUAACAACCGGAAACGGUUGCUAAUACCGCAUAAUGCAGCGGCACCUAAUGGUGACAGUUGUUAAAGCGGGGGACCGAAAGACCUCGCGUCUGAAGAGGAGCCUGGCGGCGGAUUGCUAGUUGGUAAGGUAAUGGGCUUACCGAGGUCUACGAUCC
Molecule: ribosomal RNA, 276 nt
Filed under: uncultured soil bacterium
Lineage: Bacteria
Description: partial 16S ribosomal RNA
Rfam family: Bacterial small subunit ribosomal RNA
Source: RNAcentral